This 325-nucleotide ribosomal RNA is filed under the name uncultured eukaryote. RNAcentral's name for it is "partial 18S ribosomal RNA". It matches the Rfam family "Eukaryotic small subunit ribosomal RNA", at positions 1470 to 1796 of the family's 1831-position model. The record is from RNAcentral.
CCCUUAGAUGUUCUGGGCUGCACGCGCGCUACACUGAAGCGUUCAACGAGUAUUCACCUUGCCCGGGAGGGUUGGGUAAUCUUUUGAAAACGCUUCGUGAUGGGGAUAGAUUAUUGCAAUUAUUAAUCUUCAACGAGGAAUUCCUAGUAAGCGCGAGUCAUCAGCUCGUGCUGAUUACGUCCCUGCCCUUUGUACACACCGCCCGUCGCACCUACCGAUUGAACGGUCCGGUGAAAUCUUGGGAUUUGCUUUGCUUUCGUUUGUUCGAUGCUCGGCGAAGAACUUGAGUAAACCUUACCGUUUAGAGGAAGGUGAAGUCGUAACA